UUCUCUUAGAACUUUACUUAUGGGUAAUAUGAUUGUAACUCAAGUUAGAAUGUUAUCCUUCUCUUACAACUUUACUUAUGGGUAAUAUGAUUGUAACUCAAGUUGGAAUGUUAUCCUUCUCUUAGAACUUUACUUAUGGGUAAUAUGAUUGUAACUCAAGUUGGAAAGUUAUCCUCUUAGAACUUUAUUUAUGGGUAAUAAGAUGUAACUCAAGUUGGAAUGUUACCAGCCAGUGGAAACACCAAAAAAGAAGGGCAGGUGAAGGGAGGAGAAGAAACUUACUUCCCUUUAAUCUAUGCUUUUUCCUUUUUCCAAUUAUAAAAUUUCUCUUCUACCUGCUCCUAGAAAAAUCCCAAGGUUAUCUAUUGUUGCAUAUAAUUUGAUUAAUCAUUGCCUCAAAUCUUACCUGUAGGAGUUCUACUCUGCUUCUUUUUGCAUCAUUAAGGAGUGCAUACUAUUAGGUCUUUGUCCAUACUAAUUAUGUCAUAAAAGCAAGAUUCUGGCUACUUUGAAAAUUUGAUCUUCUCACAUGUUUCUCAAACUUGGGACUCUAUAGGUGCUGCACAUAAUUUCUUCCCUUUAUAAACACAUAUAAUCUGGUGGCCAAAUAUCAAUGAUGAACUAUAAAAUUAGAAUGAUGUGCCAUGAAAAGCCUGUAAAUUUGAGUCACAA
RNAcentral lists this long non-coding RNA (672 nucleotides) under Gossypium raimondii (Peruvian cotton). Its description in RNAcentral is "long non-coding RNA (GRAI_LNC006932)". Lineage: Eukaryota; Viridiplantae; Streptophyta; Magnoliopsida; Malvales; Malvaceae. The record is from RNAcentral.